UACGUAGGGCGCAAGCGUUGUCCGGAAUUAUUGGGCGUAAAGAGCUCGUAGGCGGCUUGUCACGUCUGGUGUGAAAGACCGGGGCUUAACCCCGGUUCUGCAUUCGAUACGGGCUGGCUAGAGUGUGGUAGGGGAGAUCGGAAUUCCUGGUGUAGCGGUGAAAUGCGCAGAUAUCAGGAGGAACACCGGUGGCGAAGGCGGAUCUCUGGGCCAUUACUGACGCUGAGGAGCGAAAGCGUGGGGAGCGAACAGG
Molecule: ribosomal RNA, 253 nt
Filed under: uncultured bacterium
Lineage: Bacteria
Description: partial 16S ribosomal RNA
Rfam family: Bacterial small subunit ribosomal RNA
Source: RNAcentral